This is a long non-coding RNA of Mauremys reevesii (Reeves's turtle), 1057 nucleotides long. RefSeq lists it as uncharacterized. The transcript is spliced from 2 exons. The record is from RefSeq and is a predicted model, not a curated record. NCBI's taxonomy places the organism in Eukaryota, Metazoa, Chordata, Testudines, Geoemydidae.
GACUGAUAAACGGCCUAGACGGAUUAAGAGAGAAAGCCAGGAGAGGGUCCUGAAUAGCUAGCCUACAUUUGAAUCAUGGCCACUGAAAGGACAAGGCCAAAUAUUUCGGCACUCGCAGAUAAUGACCGGUCCUUUAAAAAAAAAAAUCUAUUGAUACAGAGGCUUUGACACGAAUCAAGCCUCAUAGAAAACAAUGUAUAGCCACAGAGGCAUUGAAGGAAUAAAGUCUGACUGUGAGUGGUGUCUCACAUGGAGGUGGGUUGUUUUAGGGGAAUCAGGUGCAGAAGGAAAGUAAUUGCUAGCAGGUACCUGUGCUCAUUAGGCGAGGGGCUGGUGUGGGGCUUCUAUGUGUGUGGCCAUAUAUAAAACCCACGCGCUGUCCCCAUAGAGUUGUCAAAGACAGACUUCCUGGCACCCCCAGAUCAAGCAGAGAAAUGUAGGCGCUGACUACACCCCCUGCAGAAGUCAAAAGAAAGCCUGGGGAAUAUCCAAAUGCGUAGCCCCAUGACAAACCCUACAUUUUCAGUAUAUACCAUGAUCUCUAUGUAUUUUUUUAAGCGAUGCCAGAAGCACUACAGCGCAAUCUUUAUCCUGCAAAGGGAAGCGCAGGCAGUUAUGGGGCUACCGUUUGUCCCUUCUUAGAAGACCCUGAAAAUAGCAGCUCAAGUCACUUAAGAAGUUUUCCAGCCGUCCUUAGCUGGGAGGAAUGCGAGAAUGACGCGAGCGCUUCGGAUUGGGACCGGGAGUGGGGGUGGAAGUAACCCGAUUGGCCUUCACCGGACAACGCAAUCGGUUGGAGAUUUGAAAGAUCGUUUGCAAAUAAUCGCGUGGUUAAGCCGGUGGCCAAACAGAAAGGUUGGAGCAGCACCUGAAACCCACGCGGAGCAACAGCACGUAAGGGCCAAAAACAGAAGUAAAACUGAACCAUUCUUCUGCCUUUUCCCGAGAACGAGCAGUUUGAAAGUGAUCAUCGAUUUCUUAGGGGGACAAUGUCCUUUAAAUAAAAAAGAUUAAUCUUAUUGCAAUGUGACCAUUACUUUAUAUCGAUUAAAAAAAA